GUAGGGAAUAUUGGGCAAUGGGCGAGAGCCUGACCCAGCCAUGCCGCGUGCAGGAAGAAGGCUUUCUGAGUCGUAAACUGCUUUUGACAGGGAAGAAUAAGCUUGACGUGUCAAGUGAUGACGGUACCUGCAGAAUAAGCACCGGCUAACUCCGUGCCAGCAGCCGCGGUAAUACGGAGGGUGCGAGCGUUGUCCGGAUUUAUUGGGUUUAAAGGGUGCGUAGGCGGCUUUUUAAGUCUGGGGUGAAAGCCCGCUGCUCAACAGCGGAACUGCCCUGGAUACUGGAGAGCUUGAGUACAGACGAGGUUGGCGGAAUGGGCAGAGUAGCGGUGAAAUGCAUAGAUACUGUCCAGAACCCCGAUUGCGAAGGCAGCUGACUAGGCUGUUACUGACGCUGAGGCACGAAAGCGUGGGGAGCGAACAGG
This 425-nucleotide ribosomal RNA is filed under the name uncultured Hymenobacter sp. RNAcentral's name for it is "bacterial SSU rRNA". It matches the Rfam family "Bacterial small subunit ribosomal RNA", at positions 354 to 776 of the family's 1533-position model. The record is from RNAcentral. Lineage: Bacteria; Pseudomonadati; Bacteroidota; Cytophagia; Cytophagales; Hymenobacteraceae.